This 204-nucleotide ribosomal RNA is filed under the name uncultured bacterium. Its description in RNAcentral is "partial 16S ribosomal RNA". It matches the Rfam family "Bacterial small subunit ribosomal RNA", at positions 568 to 774 of the family's 1533-position model. The record is from RNAcentral.
AGCGCAGGUGGUUUAUUAAGUCUGGUGUAAAAGGCAGUGGCUCAACCAUUGUACGCAUUGGAAACUGGUAGACUUGAGUGCAGGAGAGGAGAGUGGAAUUCCAUGUGUAGCGGUGAAAUGCGUAGAUAUAUGGAGGAACACCGGUGGCGAAAGCGGCUCUCUGGCCUGUAACUGACACUGAGGCUCGAAAGCUGGGAGCAAACA